Ailuropoda melanoleuca (giant panda) is the source of this 107-nucleotide small nuclear RNA. The record is from Ensembl. Lineage: Eukaryota; Metazoa; Chordata; Mammalia; Carnivora; Ursidae.
GUGCUCGAUUUGGAAGCACACAUACUAAAGUUGGAAUGGUACAGAGAAGAUCCGCGUGUUCUCUGUGCAAGGAGGACAUGUAAGUUUGUGACACAUUCCAUAUUUUU